Molecule: ribosomal RNA, 463 nt
Filed under: Vreelandella stevensii
Lineage: Bacteria; Pseudomonadati; Pseudomonadota; Gammaproteobacteria; Oceanospirillales; Halomonadaceae
Description: partial 16S ribosomal RNA
Rfam family: Bacterial small subunit ribosomal RNA
Source: RNAcentral
UACGGGUGGCUGCAGUGGGGAAUAUUGGACAAUGGGGGCAACCCUGAUCCAGCCAUGCCGCGUGUGUGAAGAAGGCCCUCGGGUUGUAAAGCACUUUCAGUGAGGAAGAACGCCUGGUGGUUAAUACCCAUCAGGAAAGACAUCACUCACAGAAGAAGCACCGGCUAACUCCGUGCCAGCAGCCGCGGUAAUACGGAGGGUGCGAGCGUUAAUCGGAAUUACUGGGCGUAAAGCGCGCGUAGGUGGCUUGAUAAGCCGGUUGUGAAAGCCCCGGGCUCAACCUGGGAACGGCAUCCGGAACUGUCAAGCUAGAGUGCAGGAGAGGAAGGUAGAAUUCCCGGUGUAGCGGUGAAAUGCGUAGAGAUCGGGAGGAAUACCAGUGGCGAAGGCGGCCUUCUGGACUGACACUGACACUGAGGUGCGAAAGCGUGGGUAGCAAACAGGAUUAGAUACCCCAGUAGUC